RNAcentral lists this long non-coding RNA (163 nucleotides) under Pan troglodytes (chimpanzee). Its description in RNAcentral is "lncRNA (ENSPTRG00000053532.1)". Lineage: Eukaryota; Metazoa; Chordata; Mammalia; Primates; Hominidae. The record is from RNAcentral.
GUUCGGCAUUAGAAAUUCCAUCUGAACUUUAUUUCAUGUGAACAUGUAUUUUGUGGUGAAGAUGAACUCUAGAAUCAGGUACUACAAUUUGAAUGCUGGCUCCACAACUGAUGAGGGAAGUGAGUUUAACAAUUCUGAAGAAGUAUCAUUUGCAAGUGUCUGG